This 74-nucleotide transfer RNA is filed under the name Candidatus Amesiibacteriota bacterium. Its description in RNAcentral is "Candidatus Amesbacteria bacterium (sediment metagenome) tRNA-Met". It matches the Rfam family "tRNA". From Rfam's summary of the family: Transfer RNA (tRNA) molecules are approximately 80 nucleotides in length. Their secondary structure includes four short double-helical elements and three loops (D, anti-codon, and T loops). Lineage: Bacteria; Candidatus Amesiibacteriota. The record is from RNAcentral.
GGCAAGGUAGCUCAGUUGGUUAGAGCGCCGCACUCAUAACGCGGAGAUCGAGGGUUCGAUCCCCUCCCUUGCUA